UACAGGGGGGGCAAGCGUUGUUCGGAAUUACUGGGCGUAAAGGGCUCGUAGGUGGCCAACUAAGUCAGACGUGAAAUCCCUCAGCUUAACUGGGGAACUGCGUCUGAUACUGGAUGGCUUGAGUUUGGGAGAGGGAUGCGGAAUUCCAGGUGUUGCGGUGAAAUGCGUAGAUAUCUGGAGGAACACCGGUGGCGAAGGCGGCAUCCUGGACCGGUAUUGACGCUGAGGCGCGAAAGCCAGGGGAGCAAACGGG
RNAcentral lists this ribosomal RNA (253 nucleotides) under uncultured bacterium. Its description in RNAcentral is "partial 16S ribosomal RNA". It matches the Rfam family "Bacterial small subunit ribosomal RNA", at positions 524 to 776 of the family's 1533-position model. The record is from RNAcentral.